GUUACAUUUGCCACCACAUGUAUUUUUUUUUCAUAGAAGGAUCUAAACUUAAAAGUAAUGCUUAAUAGAAGGUGAACCAGCUGCAAGACAACCAGAGAAUCUGUAACAAAGAAGAUAUUAUAUUCCACUAAGAGACAGAACUUGAAGUUAGCUUGAGCUGAUGGUUGAUGGCAAAAGAUAACAUUCACGGUCCAGUCCACAAGCAAUGUACCAACAGGGUAAAAAAAGUCAUAUUGUUCUAACAAGAAAACACCAGUCACAGGAAGCCUUACGUCAUAUGAAACAUGCUGAGACAUGGACAGAGAAAUCUUUGUAUGAAAACAGAACUCUGACAGGUGUGAG
Non-coding RNA from Pelobates cultripes (western spadefoot toad), 342 nucleotides. The record is from the annotation of a GenBank genome assembly. NCBI's taxonomy places the organism in Eukaryota, Metazoa, Chordata, Amphibia, Anura, Pelobatidae.